This is a long non-coding RNA of Anas platyrhynchos (mallard), 1510 nucleotides long. RefSeq lists it as uncharacterized. The record is from RefSeq and is a predicted model, not a curated record. NCBI's taxonomy places the organism in Eukaryota, Metazoa, Chordata, Aves, Anseriformes, Anatidae.
CCAGUCGUAUUUCUGCAUCCUUAAAGAGGUUCCCUCUGUGUGUACCUGGCCAUGCUGAGCAUUGGGAUAUUGCAUCUUGUAUCAGGGUUAUGCCAGCUGACCAAAGCCUGGGCGAGGCUGUCCGCCCUCAUGCCACUCUGAGAAGCCAGAAGUACACGCCAAUGGAAAUUACAGCCCUUCAGAAGCCUUCCCCCAGCACCUCCCUCCUGGCUACACUGAGGCUGCUUGUGUGAAUGCCCUGGGACAGCAUAGCACAGCACUGCAGAACCCCUGGUUCCUGGAAGAGGAGCAGAAAGACCUCCCCUGAAAACAGAGCUGGCUGCCCUGGGAGGAGGCACGAUGCCUGAGGGCCCAUGGGCAUCAGGAUACGUCUCCAGGUCCAUAAACCAGCCUAAUCCCUCCACCUUCUGUUUCUCUGAACAGCCUCAAUGACACAGACCAAUCCUUGUGGUAAAGGGGUCAUGCCAUCAUGCCGUGCCUUACAGAGGAUUUCUCCUUGCAGCACACAUCCUUGUGGGUUCAGUCUGUGAUAUCCUCUUGAGAGGAUCUAAGCACGGGUGUAGCUAGGGAUCCAUCCUCCUCUGAUGGCAUGUUGUUUCACUGUGAUUUCUGGAUAUACUUUCACUUUUUUUCCCUCCCAGACUGUCCAGUAUAUCAUUAAAGUUGCUUUACAUGGUAAAGAGAAAGCAGAGCUAAAACAGUAAUAUAUUUUUCUUGUUCGAUGGAAAAUAUAGAUUUAUUUUUUUUAAUCAAAGUGUAAGUCUGCAAUCCCAUAGAGUAUAACCUCUCUAAAAGACUUUAUGGUUAUUUAAGAGGAAUGUGGGCUGUAAAUAAAUAUAAGUUUAUUACAUACUUGGAUGGAAAUAUUUAGGUUUCCCUGGUUAAAAAAUGUGCAUAAAAAAAAAGAAGCUAUAUAUGCUGAACAUUCCUUUGGAUUUUCACACCAGGGUAUACAUCUGAACACAAUAUAUUGCGCAUGUAAUAUCAGUUCAGGAUAAACUUCCAAGGAUGCUUGAAGUUCGUGUCCAAACUAUUCCUCUCUGCUGUAUAGAAGAACCUCCCGCAAGCUGAGGUGCAGAUCUCUGUGGGCUCCCUGCUGCUUGUCUGGGAGCUGCAGGCUGGAUAAAUGUAUUUGUUUUAAAGCCAAUAGAGCAUCCAAUGAGACCUGGGCUGUUUCUGAGUUGGAUCUUAGUGUUCCCAUACAGGCUUGGUAUAACAAAUAUUUUCACACUGAAUUUUUCUUUAUUUUUUUCUUCACAUCAGGCAUUUUCCAGGUUCUACAUCAUCUAAAAAAUCAUUUAUUCUUCUUGCAUGCUCUGCUUUGGUUCCAUAUAUGUGAUUGUGUAGGCUUAUCUUCACUUUUAACUAAUGAACAGACAUAGGAAUAACUUUACUGUUUGCUACUGCAAUAAGCAGGCCCUACUCCUGUGCCCAUGUUGUUCCACAUUUGGCAUUUCUGAGUUCUUCAUUUUCAUUACUUUAAGCCUACAUUUAAAGCUUUUUCAUGGCA